UCAUUUGAUAAAAAGAAAUUCAUUUUCGAACACUCUCUCUCUACUUUUUCUCUCUCGACACAAAAAAAAAAGAAAUCGUCUCCUCCCCCGGCGCGGUGGCCUCGGCGCCGUCGCCGGUGGCUCUCUCUUAACCCUUCCUCUUUCCUUCUUUGCUUUCUCCUCGCAUCUACGUCCUGCAGUUGAUAUGUCGAAGCCCUAGGGAGCUCUGCCGGACACUGGCUCUCUGGAUCUGGAGCUCGGUGACAGAUCUAGUCAAUGGCGGCCUUCCCCGGUGUCAAGAUGAGGCAGCAAGGCGUUUGGCAAGGGGAGAGUCGGAUUUUCGGUGAUGAGUGAGCGUUUUUCCAGAUCUGUUUUGCUUCAUCGAUUGCUUCCGCGAAUUGGUGGCGCGUGGGCUUUGGAAGAGUCUCACCCGAUACGGAUCUGUCCUUUCGUCGGAGUGGAGAGGCGGUUGUCUCCGUAAGUUUGCCGCCUUGGUGUCUCGGCUUUGGACCGGGUCUCAACCCCUUUCAAGAAGUGCCUCGGAGGUCCCCGACUUCUAGACGUGCAGCGGUGGUCUCUUCUCUGGCGGUGUCAGAUGCAAGUUUCCUCGACGGCGCGUGAAGACAUUCGGCUCUCUUGACGCGUGGAGUUGUCUAUGCUCAGGCGUCGGAGAUCCGGUGGUGUUCCUCGGUCUUUGUCUCCUCCAGCCUUCGGUUUAAGCAGCAGAGAGCCCUUCUCGGAACUGUGCACCUUCUGUUUUGGGUAUUUCGAGCCGAUUCUUCAUUGUAUCUGCAACUCCGUCCUGUCACUGGUUGUUGCUUCAGCCUAGCCUUUUGAUUCAUCCUCUAGUUUUUAGAGGUGAUGCGUGUGAAAUGGUUGGACCUUCAGGUGGUCUCUGAAGGUUCAUUUCCCUCUCCGUGACGGCGCGUUUGGUCUCCGGCUAUCCCAGUGCCUUGUGGGUCUUCGAUCUUCUCAGCAAGCUGGAGUCCAUCAAUGGCUUGCAGGUGCUCGUCUCAGCGUGUUUUUAGACAGCCACAUCUCAGCCCGUUUUACGGUUUCUUUUGGCCGAAGCGUCUCUGUUUCGGUUCUAGGAAAUCUUCAGGUUAUCUCUCCACUCCCCCUAUCUAUAGAUCAAGAUCAAGUCUCGGGUUAGUGUGUCGAAUACGACCUCUCCGUAUCACCGUACUGGUCAGGUUCUGGCAAGAGAGACGGACUUGUUGAGGAUGGUGGUUCCCCUUAACUAGUUGGUCUGUUUCGAUUCCCAUUUCUUGAUAGUCGGUAAGAGAAAGAGAGUGUCGUGUGGAUCGAGCAGCUUUAUGUCGGCGCUGGUUUGAGAGAAAGUAUCUUUGCAUUGGUCGUCUAAAUUUCGAUUUGGUCGGCGUCGUUGG
This 1367-nucleotide long non-coding RNA is filed under the name Brassica napus (rape). RNAcentral describes it as "long non-coding RNA (BNAP_LNC017714)". Lineage: Eukaryota; Viridiplantae; Streptophyta; Magnoliopsida; Brassicales; Brassicaceae. The record is from RNAcentral.